This is an unclassified non-coding RNA of Dipodomys ordii (Ord's kangaroo rat), 83 nucleotides long. It matches the Rfam family "Y RNA". From Rfam's summary of the family: Y RNAs are components of the Ro ribonucleoprotein particle (Ro RNP), in association with Ro60 and La proteins. The Y RNAs and Ro60 and La proteins are well conserved, but the function of the Ro RNP is not known. The record is from Ensembl. Lineage: Eukaryota; Metazoa; Chordata; Mammalia; Rodentia; Heteromyidae.
AGUUGGUCCGAAGGCUGUGGGUUAUUGUUAAGCUGUUUAACAUUGUCUCCCCCCACAGCCCCUCUUGACUAACUUGGCGUUUU